Small nucleolar RNA from Lepisosteus oculatus (spotted gar), 110 nucleotides. NCBI's taxonomy places the organism in Eukaryota, Metazoa, Chordata, Actinopteri, Semionotiformes, Lepisosteidae. The record is from Ensembl.
UGCAAGAGUGAUGAGUUGCACCAGCUGUUGGAGCAGCUUUGCAGUGGCAGAGCAGCUUCAAUCAGAUUCCUGAUGACAAGCCCAUGUGCACAGGGGCCAUCUGACUUGCA